UACGUAUGGAGCAAGCGUUAUCCGGAAUUACUGGGUGUAAAGGGAGCGUAGACGGAAGAGCAAGUCUGAUGUGAAAUGCGGGGGCUCAACCCCUGGACUGCAUUGGAAACUGUCCUUCUUGAGUGCCGGAGAGGUAAGCGGAAUUCCUAGUGUAGCGGUGAAAUGCGUAGAUAUUAGGAGGAACACCAGUGGCGAAGGCGGCUUACUGGACGGUAACUGACGUUGAGGCUCGAAAGCGUGGGGAGCAA
Molecule: ribosomal RNA, 248 nt
Filed under: uncultured Lachnospiraceae bacterium
Lineage: Bacteria; Bacillati; Bacillota; Clostridia; Lachnospirales; Lachnospiraceae
Description: partial 16S ribosomal RNA
Rfam family: Bacterial small subunit ribosomal RNA
Source: RNAcentral